Molecule: ribosomal RNA, 3057 nt
Filed under: Trichoplusia ni (cabbage looper)
Lineage: Eukaryota; Metazoa; Arthropoda; Insecta; Lepidoptera; Noctuidae
Description: eukaryotic LSU rRNA
Rfam family: Eukaryotic large subunit ribosomal RNA (bases 407-3057)
Source: RNAcentral
ACCUAAAUAUUUGGAAAAGAUCUUUGUCCUAUAUUAGAUAAUUUUUUGAAAAAUGGAUAUUAACUAUUAGCAGGCACAUGAGGCUAGACGAUUCAGGUAUCAAUGGUAAUUUAACCUAAAAGAUUCGUUCAUAUCAGCCUAUUUAAAACCUGAUUUAAUCACAAUAUUACAAACCAUAAAACCAAUUUUAAAUCAAACAAGGGUCUAUCUCCAUCGUUCUAAAUUCUUUAGACUAUUAAACAUUAGUCGCAGCUCGAGUAGAUCUACCAGAACCUUAAUUUUAGCUUCAAUUUAUUUCACCGACGUUUGGAAUCAAUUGAAUGGGUACAAGGGAAUUUGUCUAACCAGACUAUAAUUUUAAUCUUUGAACGUCGCUUUAUAAUUACGUUCCUUUUGUAACGUUACUUAAUUAUGUUUCGGAUAAUUUUAACAGCAAUAACGUAAUAAAUUAUCGUAUGAGACGAAAGACCUUUGGUGUAUACGGGUUGUGUAAUGUGUGUUCAAGUAUUUGGGAUAAAAUAAACCAAAUAUUAAUGGAAAAUGGUGAAGUGGGACCUUAUUUCUUAGUACUAAUGUGUUAGUGUUUUUUUUAUAUAUAUUUCUAUUUAUUAAUUAACUCAAGCUACAAAACUUACUGCCUUGCUUUAAUCAAUAAAUGAUAGUACUACGCAUGUAAGUAUUUGUUUUUUAAUGAGAGUUUGGUAGAUUUUGUCUCGUCCAUUUACAUUGAAAGAAUAAUGACACAAUUACUCCGUACUAUUUAACUUUCCCGAAGAGUAAUGUAUAUUUUAAUAGCACCCUUUUAUCGUAAUGGCCACGUGGUAUAUUUAUAUAAUUGACUCCAAUUAAAGAGCCACUUAAAAAAAAUUGAGCAUUUUUAUUAUCUGUGCGAUGUCGAUAAAUGUUCGCGCUUCCAUUUAAAACAAGCCGGUAUUUUUACCUAACCCUUUUAAUUAAGAACGAAUGAACAGUGAAAUAAACCCGUUAAUUUUGAUUACUUACAAAACUCCGUUCGCAAACUGAACAAGUUUAAUUUUCCUCCUAAAAUACCUAGAAUUUUUAAUUUUUAUUCUUUUCAUCGAAGUUCAAACGUUUUUUUUCCGGUUUUACCUGCGACCAGCGUUUUGCCUAUACACUACCGUUACGGGCAUGUGCGACGUUCUUUGUGACGUCAUUAAGCCGUAACGAGUAGGACGUGCGCGGCGGAGAGCGCAGAAGGGUCUGGGCGUGAGCCCGCUUGGAGCCUCCGUCGGUGCAGAUCUUGGUGGUAGUAGCAAAUACUCCAGCGAGGCCCUGGAGGACUGACGUGGAGAAGGGUUUCGCGUGAACAGUAGUUGCUCGCGAGUCAGUCGAUCCUAAGCUCAAGGAGAAAUCUUAUGUCGAUGUGGCGUGUUUUUUUCAAUAAUGUAUCAUUUUAUUAUGGUAUAUAAUGAUAAAUAACGCCCUUUGAGCGAAAGGGAAUCCGGUUCCUAUUCCGGAACCCGGCAGCGGAACCGUUUCAAUAAUCGUUCCCUCGUUUUUACAGCGAGUGUUCGACGGGGUAACCCAAAGUGGCCUGAAGACGCCGCCGAGAGGUCCGGGAAGAGUUUUCUUUUCUGCCUGAGCGUUCGAGUUCCAUGGAAUCCUAUAGAAGGGAGAUAUGGUUCGGAACGCGAAGAGCACCGCAUUUGCGGCGGUGUCCGGAUACUCUCUGCGGACCUUGAAAAUUCAGGUGAGGGAUGUACGUGGAGAUGUCGCGCCGGUUCGUACCCAUAUCCGCAGCAGGUCUCCAAGGUGAAGAGCCUCUAGUCGAUAGAAUAAUGUAGGUAAGGGAAGUCGGCAAAUUGGAUCCGUAACUUCGGAAUAAGGAUUGGCUCUGAGGACCGGGGCGUGUCGGGUUUGGACGGGAAGCGGAUGCGGCCGGUGCCGGGCCUGGUCGAUGCUCUCGCGUCUUUCGGGGCGCGAGGGCGGAAUCCGGACCCGCGUUCCGGCCUUCCGCGGAUCUUCCUAGCCGUAAGGCCGUGUCGGUCUCGACUCGUGCGCGAUCGGCGCGGUUCUGUACGACCGCCGUUCAACGGUCAGCUCAGAACUGGCACGGACAAGGGGAAUCCGACUGUCUAAUUAAAACAAAGCAUUGCGAUGGCCCUCGCGGGUGUUGACGCAAUGUGAUUUCUGCCCAGUGCUCUGAAUGUCAACGUGAAGAAAUUCAAGCAAGCGCGGGUAAACGGCGGGAGUAACUAUGACUCUCUUAAGGUAGCCAAAUGCCUCGUCAUCUAAUUAGUGACGCGCAUGAAUGGAUUAACGAGAUUCCCACUGUCCCUAGGGACAGGAUAAAGAAUUUGUAGAGUCAAGAAUCGCCUGCGGACGAAACAAGAAGCCAAGAGCGCUAUAAGUCCGCAGCCGUCUCAUGAUUCGGCCCAUAUGACGAAUUCGUCGGUGGGGCCAUGGGAAGGUUGGUGGGAUUGUCCCUAUCUACUAUCUAGCGAAACCACAGCCAAGGGAACGGGCUUGGGAGAAUCAGCGGGGAAAGAAGACCCUGUUGAGCUUGACUCUAGUCUGGCAUUGUAAGGAGACAUGAGAGGUGUAGCAUAAGUGGGAGAUCGUUCGCGCGAUCGUCGCUGAAAAACCACUACUUUCAUUGUUUCAUUACUUACUCGGUUGGGCGGAAGCGGUGCGCGGUCGAUGUUAAUCGGCGGGCGCACGGUGUUUCGUUCCAAGCGUGCAGAGUGGCGACGUGGCGGCAACGCUCGUCGCCGUAAAACUCCCGCGUGAUCCGGUUCGAGGACACUGCCAGGCGGGUAGUUUGACUGGGGCGGUACAUCUGUCAAAGAAUAACGCAGGUGUCCUAAGGCCAGCUCAGCGAGGACAGAAACCUCGCGUGGAGCAAAAGGGCAAAAGCUGGCUUGAUCCAGAUGUUCAGUACGCAUAGGGACUGCGAAAGCACGGCCUAUCGAUCCUUUAGUAUAAAGAGUUUUUAGCAAGAGGUGCCAGAAAAGUUACCACAGGGAUAACUGGCUUGUGGCAGCCAAGCGUUCAUAGCGACGUUGCUUUUUGAUCCUUCGAUGUCGGCUCUUCCUA